Long non-coding RNA from Cygnus olor (mute swan), 1061 nucleotides. RefSeq lists it as uncharacterized. The transcript is spliced from 3 exons. NCBI's taxonomy places the organism in Eukaryota, Metazoa, Chordata, Aves, Anseriformes, Anatidae. The record is from RefSeq and is a predicted model, not a curated record.
AAAAUUCACAUAAAUUGUGAGGUUAAAUGAUAACGGAAAGGAAGUGAGGGUAAAAAAGAAAUACAAAUCUUUGCCUUACUGCCUUGCUCCUCUUCAGCCUGUUAGCAUCAGUCAUGGCCAAAUCACUGUCUUUUGGGUUGCACAGUCCCAGGUAUACAAGUUGCUGAGCAACAGUGACACUACUAUGAAGAGCAAGCUGUCCUGUCCAAAUGUAGUUAACAUGCUGUACAGCUACCAAUGGUUUUACCAAAAAUUAUGUCAGUAACUUAAAAGUGUUUGGUUUUAUUUUUCAGUUAUCUAAUCACAAGUAUUGCAAGUGUGGGUUGUCCACCAGUUUGCAUCUUCUGUAGCCAACCGUUUUAUGGCAAAUUAACACGAACAUGAAUAGUCUACAGCAGACAAAAAAGCGGGAGUAGUCAUGGCCAGUCCGGGCUCAAUGGCACAGGGGUGGGUACCACAGAAGCCGAAUAACAACGCAGAUGCGGAUACCCAGGCGACAUUUCAGGAUUAUUCCCCUUCUCCCGCGACGAGCCGGCCCCAAACCACCUCCAAGGGGCAGCCAUGUUAGGGACCCGCUCCUCGCCGCAUCCCGGUGCUGGCGCUAGAGGGCAGCCUUGGACCAGCAGAUCGCGGCCUGCCCGGCCCGGCACGGCUCGGCAAGGCUCGGCACGGCCCGGCACGGCCCGGCAAGGGGUCAGGUGGAGCUCUCCAGCACGGAGCAGCCCCUGGCCUGAUGAAAGCCGUGCGCUUCGUGGGCUCGUUAAGGGAGAAGCAAAUUCCAGGUGUUCGGAGAUGGCAGAGGCAGACACUAUCAGCAAGUUUUAGAACUUCCCUGGACUUGUUAUUCCCUGCUGUUGUCUUCACAACUGAAGCUUCAGUCUGGCAAGAUCACUGAAACCUGAGCAAAGAUUUCCUCAGGACCUGCCUCCCUGUGGUAGCCAGUGUGCAUGCCCUCACAGCUGGGACAGAGCACUGGAUUCCUUGGCAGGGCGAUGGCAUUGUGUUCUGGAGUAAGCAACAUAUGAGCAAGCCGAUAAAAUCUUUUAAUCUGUUUUGACUAC